RNAcentral lists this long non-coding RNA (443 nucleotides) under Nicotiana benthamiana. RNAcentral describes it as "long non-coding RNA (NBEN_LNC040812)". The record is from RNAcentral. Lineage: Eukaryota; Viridiplantae; Streptophyta; Magnoliopsida; Solanales; Solanaceae.
UUAUUGUGUUUGUACACUUGUUAUGCUGUUUGUUGACAAGUUAUUUGUCUAAGCCGGUUUUAUUAUGGCUUCUAGCACAACUACUGGUGCGUCUAAUACUGUGGAUUCCUCUAGUCCACUUUUUCUGUAUUCAUCUGAUCUCCCUGGGGUACCUCUUGUCCCCAUCCCAUUUUCGGGUACUGGUUAUGGAGGUUGGAGACGAAAAAUUCUUGUUGCCUUGUCGGCUAAAAAUAAAAUCAGCUUUGUUGAUGGCACCUAUGCCCGUCCUACUACCAAUGUUCCUCAACAGAGGUUACGAAAAAUUCUUGUUGCCUUGUCGACUAAAAAUAAAAUCAGCUUUGUUGAUGGCACCUAUGCCCGUCCUACUACCAAUGUUCAUCAACAGAGGUUAUGGAAUAGGUGCAAAAAUAUGGUGAUCUCCUGGUUGAUUGCCUCCCUUUCCC